AAUCUGCCUUUAGGUCGGGGACAACAGUUGGAAACGACUGCUAAUACCGGAUGUGCAGCUAUGUGAAAGAUUUAUUGCCUAAAGAUGAGCUCGCGUCUGAUUAGCUAGUAGGUGUGGUAAUGGCGCACCUAGGCGACGAUCAGUAACUGGUCUGAGAGGAUGACCAGUCACACUGGGACUGAGACACGGCCCAGACUCCUACGGGAGGCAGCAGUGGGGAAUUUUCCGCAAUGGGCGCAAGCCUGACGGAGCAAUACCGCGUGAGG
Molecule: ribosomal RNA, 266 nt
Filed under: uncultured bacterium
Lineage: Bacteria
Description: partial 16S ribosomal RNA
Rfam family: Bacterial small subunit ribosomal RNA
Source: RNAcentral